RNAcentral lists this ribosomal RNA (253 nucleotides) under uncultured bacterium. Its description in RNAcentral is "partial 16S ribosomal RNA". It matches the Rfam family "Bacterial small subunit ribosomal RNA", at positions 524 to 776 of the family's 1533-position model. The record is from RNAcentral.
UACAGAGGUGGCAAGCGUUGUUCGGAAUUACUGGGCGUAAAGGGCGCGUAGGCGGCCUACUAAGUCAGACGUGAAAUCCCCCGGCUUAACCUGGGAACUGCGUCUGAUACUGGAAGGCUUGAGGAUGGGAGAGGGAUGUAGAAUUCCAGGUGUAGCGGUGAAAUGCGUAGAUAUCUGGAGGAAUACCGGUGGCGAAGGCGGCCUUCUGGACGAUGACUGACGCUGAGACGCGAAAGCCAGGGGAGCAAACGGG